GCAGUGGUGGUUCACUGGUAGAAUUUUCACCUCCCAUGUGGAAGACCCAGGUUCGAUUCCUGGCUAAUGCG
This 71-nucleotide transfer RNA is filed under the name Loxodonta africana (African savanna elephant). It matches the Rfam family "tRNA". From Rfam's summary of the family: Transfer RNA (tRNA) molecules are approximately 80 nucleotides in length. Their secondary structure includes four short double-helical elements and three loops (D, anti-codon, and T loops). The record is from Rfam by way of RNAcentral. Lineage: Eukaryota; Metazoa; Chordata; Mammalia; Proboscidea; Elephantidae.